RNAcentral lists this ribosomal RNA (600 nucleotides) under uncultured bacterium. RNAcentral's name for it is "bacterial SSU rRNA". It matches the Rfam family "Bacterial small subunit ribosomal RNA", at positions 731 to 1335 of the family's 1533-position model. The record is from RNAcentral.
AGGCCUUUACUGACGCUAAAGCUCGAAGGUGCGGGUAUCGAACAGGAUUAGAUACCCUGGUAGUCCGCACGGUAAACGAUGGAUGCCCGCUGUUUGCGAUACACUGUGAGCGGCCAAGCGAAAGCGUUAAGCAUCCCACCUGGGGAGUACGCCGGCAACGGUGAAACUCAAAGGAAUUGACGGGGGCCCGCACAAGCGGAGGAACAUGUGGUUUAAUUCGAUGAUACGCGAGGAACCUUACCCGGGCUUGAACUGCCGGCGAACGAUUCAGAGAUGAUGAGGUCCUUCGGGACGCUGGUGGAGGUGCUGCAUGGUUGUCGUCAGCUCGUGCCGUGAGGUGUCGGCUUAAGUGCCAUAACGAGCGCAACCCUUUUCUUUAGUUGCCAUCAGGUAAUGCUGGGCACUCUGGAGAUACUGCCACCGUAAGGUGUGAGGAAGGUGGGGAUGACGUCAAAUCAGCACGGCCUUUACGUCCGGGGCUACACACGUGUUACAAUGGGAGGUACAGAGAGUCGGUCAGUGGUAAUACUGAUCUAAUCCUAAAAGCCUUCCUCAGUUCGGAUUGGGGUCUGCAACCCGACCCCAUGAAGCUGGAUUCGC